This is a long non-coding RNA of Pimephales promelas (fathead minnow), 1565 nucleotides long. RefSeq lists it as uncharacterized. NCBI's taxonomy places the organism in Eukaryota, Metazoa, Chordata, Actinopteri, Cypriniformes, Leuciscidae. The record is from RefSeq and is a predicted model, not a curated record.
CAUGGUAUCUUCUCUGUCGUGUGUAAUUGAUUUCAGAUGUUCUACCAGAGAGCACUUACCCUGGUCUUGAAGUCAAGCUAGCAUAUAAAAUGUCAGCAUGUUAGAUAGUCAUGCAACCUCUCUUUUUUUUAUGUUUUAGUGUAUUUAAUUAAUAUAUUUUAUACUUGUUUGUUUCCCAAUUUCUAUUAAAGUUAAAUGUCACGUGUUUGCAUUGCAAAACAAAAACAGCAACAAAAAGAAAAACAACGUUGCAUUGGCCGGGAAUCGAACCCGGGCCUCCCGCGCGCGGGAGCCGAAAAUGGUUAAGCUUAACUUCCCUUAACUUUUCCCAUUCAUUCUCUAUGGUAGUGCUUAACACUACGGAUGCAAUCUACUUUUGGCCACACGUAGACUUCCCGGCGCUGUUUCGCUUUUCCGUGGCGGGGAAUUUAAAAAGCGAAGCGUCAUCUGUCAACCCGUUUUAUUACCGGAGAGAUAUUUGUUUACCGACUUGUCAGCAAACUUGUUUCGUUUUGUCUAAACUACCUGCAGACAGACUUUAACUCAGUAAUGGAGGAGGAAGAAGAACUGGAAAGUUUUUCUCCAACAAAAUAUCUCACACAGCUGAGUAAGUAAAUCAAGUAUCUUGUCAUGUGUGUUAUAUAUACCCAUGUCAAAUUCUUAUAAAAUUGGAAUAAAAAUUGAACAUACUGGAGAGAAACCAUUCAAAUUAUAAUGCGUAAUUUUUAGGCUCAUCUGCAGCCACAGGAUCCACAGUCUUAUUUACAACAGGUUACUUUACACAUCCAUUUUUGAGGCUUAUUCAAUUACAUACUUAUCCUCCAUGUUCUUUUGUUCUAACUACUGUUAAGGUUUGAAUAUACCAGUGGUGAAGGUGGGUGCACUUCAUGAAUUGUAUGCAUGCUAAACUGUUAUUUGUUGUGAAAAAAUUGACUAUUUACUUACAAGCAUUUGAACAUUAUCAGAAUGUGCAUUACUAGAACAAAUAACAGAAUAAAUAGAAUAAAAGAAUAAAUAAUGAUUAGUCAUUUAAUGUAGUCAAGACAAUCAAAUACAUAUGUACAUUCAGUUUUUAAUUUCCUCCCUGUGCUUUUCCUUGCAGCUCCUCCAACAACAUCGGCUUUGCACCAUCUCACGCAGCACAAUCAGCCUCUACACCUGCACCAAUGCUGUCUGCACUCACUGAAACCCCUGUUCCCAGCUACUUGAACACAAAACCAUAUUAUUAUUGCUGUUAUUUAAUCUAUAAUUUUAAAUUGUUAAAUUUCUUUCCAUUGUCCAUUAAAAUCAAACAGUUUAGUCCUUGUUUGCAUUGCAAUUUGGUGUGUUUUUAAAGUUAAUUUUAUUGACUUGCAUUAUUUUAUCUUGGUCAGAUGUGUAAACUUAAUAACUGUUAAUUAAACAUUGUACAUAAUUAUUUGUUAUUUUUUUAAAUCUUGUUUUUUCCCCAGCUUUAUGUUGUUAUUAUUAUUGUUAUUAUUCAUGUUAUUGUUUUUUAAUCUAUAAGUAUUUAAUACAGUACCUUUUUCAGUUUUACAUAAUAAUAUGUAUAUUAUUGUAUUAUA